This is a long non-coding RNA of Mustela lutreola (European mink), 1279 nucleotides long. RefSeq lists it as uncharacterized. The transcript is spliced from 5 exons. The record is from RefSeq and is a predicted model, not a curated record. Lineage: Eukaryota; Metazoa; Chordata; Mammalia; Carnivora; Mustelidae.
GAACGCUGCGAUCCCGGGCUCGGAGGCCGGACACGGCACGGCAUCGCGGGCCGGUGCCCUUCCUCACGGUCCGCCGAGGGCGCGACGCCAGCGCAGACAUGGUCGAGUGGGGUCACGGAGACCCGCGCUGGAUCGUGGAGGAGCGGGAGGACGGGACCAACGUGAACAACGGGCGCUGGACAGAGCGGGAUACCAACAACUGGCCCCAGAGGAAGCUCUGUGACCUCCUGGUGGGCCUCAUCGUGGAGAAUGAGGUGGCAGCGGUGACAUCUGUGAGCUGAAGCAAGUCGAAGCUGUUCCAGCAGCAGGUGUGGGGUCAUACCUCAUUGUAACUUUGAUCUGUGUUUCCUUGAUGCUCAGUGGUGCGGAGCACUUUUUCAGGUGUAAUUAAAGAAUCUGGUGCAAAGCACAAGGGAUUGAUUGAAAUAAUCAACCUUUCUGAAGAAAGUGAAGUAGAUGACACUGAGGUGAACGUGAGUAAAAAGAAAGGAGAUGUGGAUAUACUGAAGGAUCUUAUGAAAACUGCAGGCACCGCCACGGUCAGGGAGGCUCUUGGAGAUUACCUGAAGGCACUUAAGAUGGGUAAAGAAGGCAACCCUUGUGAACCAGAGGAUCCCUUUUCUAUUUACCUAAGUUAUGCUCUGUACUGUGGUCUGGAUCCCCAGGUUAGGGUGAGGUCUGUGAGGCUUCUGAAACAACUCUUUAUGCUGCAGGAUAAACUGUAAUCUGGAGGUUGAGAGCUAGUCACAAGUAAGACCAUAAUUAGUGACUGUUGCUAUCCUAUACACCGCAAACUAUUUUGCCUAUGGAACUGCUGAGAGUUUUCUGGAAUGACAAUUCAUUCAGUUGUUUGUAUAAUUACUUGUUCCAGGUUUAUCUUCCCUCCUAGAGUGUAAGCUCUAAGGGGGCAUGGAAGGUGUUUGUCUUAUUCACUGCUGUAUCACCAGCUUUUUGCACAAUUCCUGGCAUAUAAUAGGUGCUUAUGAACAAAUCUUUGUUUGAAUGAAUGAGUGAAGGAAUGAGAGGCAUUACAGAUAUAAUUGAGAUUUACCUAGAUAGUAUCUACACUGUGUGGAAGUGAGGUCAUUCGUUGUUUUCUUCCCUAAAUUAGCUGCCAGGCACAAGGACUGAGGGGCCUGUAUAUCCGCACCUCAUCCUUGGACUCUGUUAUCAAGGUAUGAGGUGCUGCCUGGCCCACAGGUUGGAAUACUGGGAGGCCAAGCUUUGGGAGGUGGUGGUGAAGCAAUUAAGUAGGUGAAGGUCAUAAAGCUAGUAGUUU